GACUCUCGGCAACGGAUAUCUCGGCUCUUGCAUCGAUGAAGAACGUAGCGAAAUGCGAUACUUGGUGUGAAUUGCAGAAUCCCGUGAACCAUCGAGUCUUUGAACGCAAGUUGCGCCCGAAGCCACUAGGCCGAGGGCACGCCUGCCUGGGUGUCA
Ribosomal RNA from Vigna angularis (adzuki bean), 156 nucleotides. It matches the Rfam family "5.8S ribosomal RNA". Rfam says of the family: 5.8S ribosomal RNA (5.8S rRNA) is a component of the large subunit of the eukaryotic ribosome. It is transcribed by RNA polymerase I as part of the 45S precursor that also contains 18S and 28S rRNA. The record is from Rfam. Lineage: Eukaryota; Viridiplantae; Streptophyta; Magnoliopsida; Fabales; Fabaceae.